UGUAGAUGGGAUGGACAAUCUCUUUUGCCAUCUAUCCUGGGAUGUUUUUUUCAUGAAAACUGUUAUUCGAGAAUGGUUUUCUGAGCCUUUAAUUUCAAGAAGAAAAAUUGAACCCUUUUGGCAUCUAUCUCAGAAGAUUUAGCAACCAACAUGGAUUCUGGGCGUCAAAUAAUCAUGGAUUCAAAGGUUGAAGAGGAAGAAAACAGGCAGAGGUUGCUUGCAUCGUCUCCUGGAUUGAUGCGUAGAAGAGGUGAAGGGAGGAUGAGCGAUUCUACGGGAUUAUAGACGCCAGACGCCACCUUGAAGACUCGUUGGUGCAAUGGACUAUUGAAUAGGGCUGCACGUGGGACAGUAGCAGUGGACUCUCUCAUGUACCUCAUCCAACGGUUGUAAUUACCUAAUGUAGAGAUUGGAUGGACAAUUAAGAGACCAUUACGUCAAAAAAAAAGACCAUUGAUAGAAAAAAAAUCUUACAUGGGUGGAUCUCUACCGUAAAAACACGGUCCCACCAGAUUAACGGCUCGUAAAAUCUAAUUAAUGUAGGAAUUUCUUGGAAGUCUAUAAUUAGUAUAGGUAUAUAUAGAGGUAUAGAUAGAUAGGUAGAUAGAUAGAUAGAUAGAUAGAUAAAGAUGGUGUUAACUUCAGAUAAGAUAUAAGGAGGCAUGGCUGGUAUGGUUGCUAAUAAGAACCCAAACAAUUGCCACCUGUAACACCUCUCCUGUGUAUAUUCUGUAGGCGUGAGCUUCAACAAUUUCGCUAAGAGUGCUAUCCCACCCAGAAAUUGCUCAAUUAUUUUGCCAUUCAAAUAGAGUGUUGAGGAGUAGAUGCGGGAACAAGGCGCAUGCAAGCUGAGGGCUGCAUAGAUGCCCAUCACGAUGGUGGAGAUCAGGUUGAUGUGCUAAGGGUUGGUGAAUCAUGGUGCCAAUUAAGGUUGUGCUGCAACUUGGCAACAGGCUUGUGGUCUGUAGUAGGGUGCCUUGUGUUGUAAUAUGGUCGUAUAUAUUUGACCUGGAGUUUACAUUGCCUUCUGUGCCUUGAUGUGACAAACAAUGGGGGAGUCUAUGCCGCAUAAGGUCGCGAGCAUCAUUGGUGUUAAGUUUUUGUGCAAUUAGUAUGUUAAUUAAGACUCCGCAUUAAAUCAAAGUGAUUGAGAUCUUGUUGUAUUCCAUCUAAUAGAUGUGCCUGCUAUUGCUAAAA
This is a long non-coding RNA of Aegilops tauschii subsp. strangulata, 1197 nucleotides long. RefSeq lists it as uncharacterized. NCBI's taxonomy places the organism in Eukaryota, Viridiplantae, Streptophyta, Magnoliopsida, Poales, Poaceae. The record is from RefSeq and is a predicted model, not a curated record.